CGCUCCUAGAGCUGGCCGAGCGGCAGGUCACCAUCCACUCGCAGACGCUGCUGAGCUGGGAACACGCGCUGAAGCUAGCCACCGAGCCAGACUCGGGGGAACUCUUCAAGACUGUGUCCAAGGCGGCGGUGCAGAAUCUUUCGCCUUCCAAGUACGCCGCGACGCCGGAGUCGGAGCGCGAGUUCGACGAUAUCGACAGUAACGACAGCUCCGACUUGUCGAAGGUGGACCACGAUUUUGAGGUGAGCAACAAAGACAGCACGAAGACAGACUCCCACGAAGCGAGCUCGGACCCGCUCAAAGAAUUCUCCGAAGUAGACCUCUCCUCAUGAUUCUACGACACACUAUUCUUCAACAUAUUGAAGGAAUUCUAACGUAUUUUGAAUCUUAUUGACUGGUAUUAAGCACCAAGUAUGGGAAACUAUUCGUCUAUUCGCGUUUCCAACAUAUUAAGGAAAUCCUGAAGUAUACGUGGACGUAUUUUGGAUCUUAUUUG
Ostrinia nubilalis (European corn borer) is the source of this 496-nucleotide long non-coding RNA. RefSeq lists it as uncharacterized. Lineage: Eukaryota; Metazoa; Arthropoda; Insecta; Lepidoptera; Crambidae. The record is from RefSeq and is a predicted model, not a curated record. The transcript has 3 exons.